GUCCGCGGCGCAUUAGCUAGGUGGUGAGGUAACGGCUCACCAAGGUCGACGGAUGCGUAGCCGACCUGAGAGGGUGAUCGGCCACACUGGGACUGAGACACGGCCCAGACUCCUACGGGAGGCAGCAGUAGGGUAAUCUUCCGCAAUGGACGAAAGUCUGACGGAGCAACGCCGCGUGAGUGAUGAAGGUUUUCGGAUCGUAAAACUCUGUUGUUAGGGAAGAACAAGUUGGGGAGGAACUGACCCAACCUUGACGGUACCUAACCAGAAAGCCACGGCUAACUACGUGCCAGCAGCCGCGGUAAUACGUAGGUGGCAAGCGUUGUCCGGAAUUAUUGGGCGUAACGCGCUCGCAGGCGGUCCUUUAAGUCUGAUGUGAAAUCUCGCGGCUCAACCGCGAACGGUCAUUGGAAGCUGGAGGACUUGAGUACAGAAGAGGAGAGUGGAAUUCCACGUGUAGCGGUGAAAUGCGUAGAGAUGUGGAGGAACACCAGUGGCGAAGGCGACUCUCUGGUCUGUAACUGACGCUGAGGAGCGAAAGCGUGGGAAGCGAACAGGAUUAGAUACCCUGGUAGUCCACGCCGUAAACGAUGAGUGCUAGGUGUUAGGGGGUUUCCGCCCCUUAGUGCUGAAGUUAACGCAUUAAGCACUCCGCCUG
This 658-nucleotide ribosomal RNA is filed under the name Oceanobacillus picturae. RNAcentral describes it as "bacterial SSU rRNA". It matches the Rfam family "Bacterial small subunit ribosomal RNA", at positions 229 to 875 of the family's 1533-position model. The record is from RNAcentral. Lineage: Bacteria; Bacillati; Bacillota; Bacilli; Caryophanales; Bacillaceae.